CUUCAGUGAUGAUGCUUGAUGACGAGUCUGAUGGGAUACGGUUCUGUCAGGAUUCCUGAUGCAGUUGGCACGUUCUGUGCUGCUAGAUUCAGAGCCUAGAACAGUCUGUCCCUUUUUUUGAUGACUUAGAGGCAUUUGUCUGAGAAGG
This is a small nucleolar RNA of Chiloscyllium plagiosum (whitespotted bambooshark), 148 nucleotides long. NCBI's taxonomy places the organism in Eukaryota, Metazoa, Chordata, Chondrichthyes, Orectolobiformes, Hemiscylliidae. The record is from RefSeq and is a predicted model, not a curated record.